AUUCUCGGGGCCCGAGGCUCAGCCGCUCGCGGUGGAGAAAGCAGGCCGCGGAGGAGGCGGGCGCCCAGGCCUGCCCGGACAGGAAGUGGGCCCAGCUUUCCCACUCCUCGCUCCGCUCCUUCCUCCGCGGGAAGGGCAGGCCCCGGAGGCAGCGAGCGCCCCGGGGGUGGCCGGGCAGCCGGAUGCUCCCGGGGUUGCGGGCUGUGGCCCCGGGGGCUGAGGGCGGCGCGGGUGCGGCGGAAGCAGGGAAGCCGCGAACCGGCCUUCUGGCUGGCCACAGCGCCCUGCACGGACGAUCAGUGAAUGGAGAUUACUCAAGUAUUUAUCGAGAACUUGCAGUGGGCUAGGCACAGUUCAGGUAGAUCAACAAACCGAAAGACCCUGCCCUAGGGGAGCUUUCGCUCCAAUGCGGGGAGAGGGUGGAUGAUUGCAGUUUUGCCCAGUAAUUUUUGGGACCCUCAUGCCACCAUUAAUUAGCUACACACAUUUCACCGAAAGUCUACCUUACAUAUUAAUCAGAAGAAGUGGAAGAAUAAACACAGAAGAAGCAAAAAAGGAAGGAACUUUCUCACUGAAAGUUUCUAUUUAAUAUUAAGUCUUAAAAGUACUCCUGGAAGGACAAAAGGUGUUCUUAAUAAAUUAUAUUCGCAAAUAUUGGAUUUAAUCCUACCAGUAAUGAAGCAGUCAGUUACUUUCUAGAUGUGCAGAAAUACGUAAUGAACAAAAAAAACUAAUUCCUAUUCCAUUUUUUAUUAGGUCCACAGUUAUUUCACUUCUAAAUAAAUAUGGUUUUUUAAAAGUGGCACGCGGUGGAAUGUAAUUGAGACAGGAUGGAGUUCCUAGAGAAAUUUUACUUCCUCAAUCUGCACUCCACCUUACUUAAAAUACAGUCUUGGGUCUGUAAUUCCCUUAUCUGACUCUCAAGGAAAUGACAAAGUAAUGCCUAGAUUGGACUAAACCUCAUUUAACUUCAAGGCUGACCUUUCUCAAAGUUGAACCUUCGUCUUGUGAGGAACAGAAAGAUCAAGAACUCUGAAGCACCUCGACUUUCCACCUGUGAAGAUGUGUUCAAAUUUGCAACGUGCGGCCACACCUAUGAGGUCACUCCCUCUGGAGGAAACCAGCUGCCACUUUGUGAGGAUACUCAUAGUCCUGUGGAGGCAUAUCCUCCAUAUGGCUGAGACCUCCUGCGAACAACCAUCACUGACUUGCCAGACAUGAGUGUGCCACCUUGGAAGCAGAUUUUCCAGCCCCAGUUAAGCCUUCAGAUGACAUCAGCCCCUGCUAAUCUCUUGACUACAACCUCAUGAGAGACCCUGAGCCAGAACUAGCCAGGCUUACCCCUCAUGGUUACAAAGUGGCUGCAACAGCUCCAGGUGUUCUAUCCUUUAACACAGAAUAACUCAAACAACAAGACCCAAUAUUCAGACAAGAAGGAAAGGGACUUUUGGAGAGUGAAGAAAACUUUCCUAGAAACCUCAAACUUCUCCCCAUGCCUUAUUGGCCAGAUUGUAUCCCAUGCCCAUUUCUAAACCAAUCAUUGGCAAAGUGAGUGGAAUUGACGUGAUUAGAUUAACUUUACCAAGAAUGCAUCCUCAGAGAGGCUGAGAAAAAGUCCAGCCUCCUUUGAAGAGCCUGGCUACCUUUCACCUGAACAAAACAAGAAUUCUGAUGAAAAAUGGAGAAUGUAUGUGGAGCAGGCACCCGGAGUGUCUAUGCCAGGAUUUUUUUUCAGUGCGUUUCACCGGUUAUAUUUUUGUCUCUUUACCUUACAAGAUAUGUGGCACGUUUGCCUAAAACAAGCCUUGCUUUCUGAUUUCUGUGCACUAGGCACUUAAACCUUGCAAAUGUCGCUUACCUAACAGUCACUGUCAAGGAGUACCUGGCUAAAGAAUCUCCAGCUAGACAAAGUAGAAGUGUCUGUGCUCUGGCAGUUGAAUAUAUUGUAUCAGGCUCAACAGCACCUUUCACCAAAGGAUGAGACUUCACAACCAUUAGAUCUUCUUUUAUUUUGUUUUUAUUAAAAAAAAAAAUUUUAACACACCAUUGCUAACUUGAAGCCAUUAGAUCUUCUUACCCCCAAUACCACAAAAGUUUAGUGGAAUCAGGGGUAUACCAAGGCAGGUGGAGUAGGGGAGCUGGGAGUGGUCAGCCCCCAGGGCAGGCAAUGAGGGAUUGUGAAUCUGUGAAGAAUUUUAAAGCAAUGAUACAGCUCUAAAUGCAAUGUACUAUCCUGGACUUAGCCCUGGAAAAGAAAAAAGAUAUUAGUGGAAAAACUGGUAAAAUUCAAAUAAUGUCUGUAGUUUGGUUAAUAGUAUUAUACCAAUGUUAAUUUCUGUGUUUUGAUAAAUGUACCAUGGUUAUGUAAGCUGGAUGAAAGAUAUGUGGGAAAUCUCUCUACUAUUUCUGCAACUCUCCUGUAAACCUAAAAAUGUUUCAAAAUAAAAGAUUUAAUGCU
RNAcentral lists this long non-coding RNA (2458 nucleotides) under Homo sapiens (human). Its description in RNAcentral is "non-protein coding TRAM2-AS1:24". Lineage: Eukaryota; Metazoa; Chordata; Mammalia; Primates; Hominidae. The record is from RNAcentral.